This 81-nucleotide transfer RNA is filed under the name Triticum aestivum (bread wheat). It matches the Rfam family "tRNA". From Rfam's summary of the family: Transfer RNA (tRNA) molecules are approximately 80 nucleotides in length. Lineage: Eukaryota; Viridiplantae; Streptophyta; Magnoliopsida; Poales; Poaceae. The record is from Rfam by way of RNAcentral. RNAcentral also lists the same sequence under 1 other name.
CAUCAGGUGGCCGAGUUGGUCUAAGGCGCCAGGUUAAGGCUCUGGUCCGAAAGGGCGUGGGUUCAAAUCCCUCUCUGGUCA